This 799-nucleotide ribosomal RNA is filed under the name uncultured archaeon. RNAcentral's name for it is "bacterial SSU rRNA". It matches the Rfam family "Archaeal small subunit ribosomal RNA", at positions 21 to 821 of the family's 1478-position model. The record is from RNAcentral.
GGUUACUGCUAUCGGUGUUCGCAUAAGCCAUGCGAGUCAUAUGUUCUUCGGAACAUGGCGUACUGCUCAGUAACACGUGGAUAACCUGCCCUUGGGUCCGGCAUAACCCCGGGAAACUGGGAAUAAUUCCGGAUAACGCACAUAUGCUGGAAUGCUUUAUGCGUCAAAUGGAUUCGUCCGCCCAAGGAUGGGUCUGCGGCCUAUCAGGUAGUAGUGGGUGUAAUGUACCUACUAGCCUACGACGGGUACGGGUUGUGAGAGCAAGAGCCCGGAGAUGGAUUCUGAGACAUGAAUCCAGGCCCUACGGGGCGCAGCAGGCGCGAAAACUUUACAAUGCGGGAAACCGUGAUAAGGGGACACCGAGUGCCAGCAUCAUAUGCUGGCUGUCCGGGUGUGUAAAAUACACCUGUUAGCAAGGGCCGGGCAAGACCGGUGCCAGCCGCCGCGGUAACACCGGCGGCCCGAGUGGUGAUCGUAAUUAUUGGGUCUAAAGGGUCCGUAGCCGUUUUGGUCAGUCCCCCGGGAAAUCUGACGGCUUAACCGUUAGGCUUUCGGGGGAUACUGCCAGACUUGGAACCGGGAGAGGUAAGAGGUACUACAGGGGUAGGAGUGAAAUCUUGCAAUCCCUGUGGGACCACCUGUGGCGAAGGCGUCUUACCAGAACGGGUUCGACGGUGAGGGACGAAAGCUGGGGGCACGAACCGGAUUAGAUACCCGGGUAGUCCCAGCCGUAAACGAUGCUCGCUAGGUGUCAGGCAUGGCGCGACCGUGUCUGGUGCCGCAGGGAAGCCGUGAAGCG